AAGUUCCGCGGGCUGCUCUUUUCUCUAAGUUAUUUUUGGUGAUUUUUUAGUGAUUUUUUUGGCGUGGUCUUAGUGGUGCUAUACUCCCGGACAGGUUAUCCAGUCUCUCCCGCUAGAUUGAUGAGAUCAGGCAUC
Unclassified non-coding RNA from Cavia porcellus (domestic guinea pig), 135 nucleotides. NCBI's taxonomy places the organism in Eukaryota, Metazoa, Chordata, Mammalia, Rodentia, Caviidae. The record is from Ensembl.